AUUGAACGCUGGCGGCAGGCCUAACACAUGCAAGUCGAGCGGAUGAAGGGAGCUUGCUCCUGGAUUCAGCGGCGGACGGGUGAGUAAUGCCUAGGAAUCUGCCUGGUAGUGGGGGAUAACGUCCGGAAACGGGCGCUAAUACCGCAUACGUCCUGAGGGAGAAAGUGGGGGAUCUUCGGACCUCACGCUAUCAGCUGAGCCUAGGUCGGAUUAGCUAGUUGGUGGGGUAAAGGCCUACCAAGGCGACGAUCCGUAACUGGUCUGAGCGGAUGAUCAGUCACACUGAGGCUGAGACGCGGUACAGACUCCUAGGGGAGGCAGCAGUGGGGAAUAUUGGACGAAGGGCGGAAGCCUGCUCCAGCCAUGCCGCGUGUGUGCAGAAGGUCUUCGGAUUGUAAAGCACUUUAAGUUGGGAGGAAGGGCAGUAGGUUAAUACCUGGCUGUUUUGACGUUACCAACAGAAUAAGCACCGGCUAACUACGUG
RNAcentral lists this ribosomal RNA (484 nucleotides) under uncultured bacterium. RNAcentral's name for it is "partial 16S ribosomal RNA". It matches the Rfam family "Bacterial small subunit ribosomal RNA", at positions 30 to 507 of the family's 1533-position model. The record is from RNAcentral.